UACGUAGGGUGCAAGCGUUGUCCGGAAUUAUUGGGCGUAAAGAGCUCGUAGGCGGUUUGUCGCGUCUGCUGUGAAAACUCGGGGCUUAACUCCGGGCCUGCAGUGGGUACGGGCAGACUAGAGUGCGGUAGGGGAGACUGGAAUUCCUGGUGUAGCGGUGAAAUGCGCAGAUAUCAGGAGGAACACCGGUGGCGAAGGCGGGUCUCUGGGCCGUAACUGACGCUGAGGAGCGAAAGCUAGGGGAGCAAACGGG
Molecule: ribosomal RNA, 253 nt
Filed under: uncultured bacterium
Lineage: Bacteria
Description: partial 16S ribosomal RNA
Rfam family: Bacterial small subunit ribosomal RNA
Source: RNAcentral